GACGAACGCUGGCGGCGUGCUUAACACAUGCAAGUCGAACGGAAAGGCCCUGCUUUUGUGGGGUGCUCGAGUGGCGAACGGGUGAGUAACACGUGAGUAACCUGCCCUUGACUUUGGGAUAACUUCAGGAAACUGGGGCUAAUACCGGCUAGGAGCUCCUGCUGCAUGGUGGGGGUUGGAAAGUUUCGGCGGUUGGGGAUGGACUCGGGGCUUAUCAGCUUGUUGGUGGGGUAGUGGCUUACCAAGGCUUUGACGGGUAGCCGGCCUGAGAGGGUGACCGGCCACAUUGGUACUGAGAUACGGCCCAGACUCCUACGGGAGGCAGCAGUGGGGAAUAUUGCACAAUGGGCGGAAGCCUGAUGCAGUAACGCCGCGUGCGGGAUGACGGCCUUCGGGUUGGAAACCGCUUUCGCCUGUGACGAAGCGUGAGUGACGGUAAUGGGUAAAGAAGCACCGGCUAACUACGUG
This 468-nucleotide ribosomal RNA is filed under the name uncultured bacterium. Its description in RNAcentral is "partial 16S ribosomal RNA". It matches the Rfam family "Bacterial small subunit ribosomal RNA", at positions 28 to 507 of the family's 1533-position model. The record is from RNAcentral.